GAGGAGAAAAGGGUUUAUUACCCAGUCCCGGAGUGACACCAUCCCCCACCCAACAACUCUCAACAACUUGAUAGGGCCCAAAGAGGGAAGGGGCCUAGAAGACUGAGAGCAAAAGAGAAAGGUGAGGCUGGCCAGGCACAGUGGCUCAUGCCUGUAAUCCCAGCACUUUGGGAGGCCGAGGUGGGUGGAUCACAAGGUCAGGAGAUCGAGACCAUCCUGGCUAACACGGUGAAACCCUGUCUCUACUAAAAAUACAAAAAAUUAGC
RNAcentral lists this long non-coding RNA (266 nucleotides) under Homo sapiens (human). RNAcentral describes it as "HSALNT0241152". Lineage: Eukaryota; Metazoa; Chordata; Mammalia; Primates; Hominidae. The record is from RNAcentral.